AGGGUUUGAUCAUGGCUCAGAUUGAACGCUGGCGGCAGGCUUAACACAUGCAAGUCGAGCGGAAACGAUGAAAAGCUUGCUUUUCAGGCGUCGAGCGGCGGACGGGUGAGUAAUGCUUGGGAAUAUGCCUUUGAGUGGGGGACAACAGUUGGAAACGACUGCUAAUACCGCAUAACGUCUACGGACCAAAGGGGGGGCUCUUCGGACCUCUCGCUCAUAGAUUAGCCCAAGUGAGAUUAGCUAGUAGGUAAGGUAAUGGCUUACCUAGGCGACGAUCUCUAGCUGGUUUGAGAGGAUGAUCAGCCACACUGGGACUGAGACACGGCCCAGACUCCUACGGGAGGCAGCAGUGGGGAAUAUUGCACAAUGGGGGAAACCCUGAUGCAGCCAUGCCGCGUGUGUGAAGAAGGCCUUCGGGUUGUAAAGCACUUUCAGUCGUGAGGAAAGGGAUGUAGUUAAUAACUGCAUUCUGUGACGUUAGCGACAGAAGAAGCACCGGCUAACUCCGUGCCAGCAGCCGCGGUAAUACGGAGGGUGCGAGCGUUAAUCGGAAUUACUGGGCGUAAAGCGUGCGUAGGCGGUUUGUUAAGCAAGAUGUGAAAGCCCCGGGCUCAACCUGGGAACUGCAUUUUGAACUGGCAGGCUAGAGUAUUGUAGAGGGUGGUGGAAUUUCCAGUGUAGCGGUGAAAUGCGUAGAGAUUGGAAGGAACAUCAGUGGCGAAGGCGGCCACCUGGACAAAUACUGACGCUGAGGCACGAAAG
RNAcentral lists this ribosomal RNA (762 nucleotides) under uncultured bacterium. Its description in RNAcentral is "bacterial SSU rRNA". It matches the Rfam family "Bacterial small subunit ribosomal RNA", at positions 8 to 759 of the family's 1533-position model. The record is from RNAcentral.